Non-coding RNA from Lates calcarifer (barramundi perch), 668 nucleotides. Lineage: Eukaryota; Metazoa; Chordata; Actinopteri; Centropomidae. The record is from the annotation of a RefSeq genome assembly.
AGAGGCCAGUGUUGAUCAGUGGCUGUCCAGGCCUUUCAGAGCCACUGACACACCAGCAGCACAAUGAUGAUGUCUCUGACUCUACUGCUGGCCACCCUGGGGCUCCUUGUUCAGGGUUCAUCAGGAGACAUCAUCCUGACUCAGUCUCCUGGAGCUCAGUCUGUUGUUCUGGGACAGACUGUCUCUAUCAGAUGUAAAGCCAGUUCAAGUAUGGGUAGCUACCUUCACUGGUACCUUCAGAAACCUGGAGAAGCUCCUAAACUCCUGAUUUAUUAUGCUACAAACCGUCAGUCUGGAGUUUCAGAUCGUUUCAGUGGAAGUGGAUCUGGGACUGACUUCACUCUGACCAUCAGUAGAGUUCAGACUGAAGAUGCAGGAGUUUAUUACUGUGGACAGAGUGGUUACAGCACCCCGUUCACACAGUGAUACAACGUCGUACAAAAACCUCCCUCAGCUGCAGAGGAACUGAUCUGACUCAACAGCAUUGACUUCGGUUCAUAUAACAGACAACCUCCAAGUUUCCUUCAAAGGUUAUUUUCAAGUAAUUCAGUUAUAACUUGAAUUUUAACAAUCAUUUGUUACAUGUUUCAGCUACAGUAAAGUUUUCAACACAUCUUACAACAUUAAAUGUUUUUAGGUUUGUGUUCACAAUAAAACACACAUGUUGU